RNAcentral lists this ribosomal RNA (467 nucleotides) under uncultured bacterium. RNAcentral describes it as "partial 16S ribosomal RNA". It matches the Rfam family "Bacterial small subunit ribosomal RNA", at positions 28 to 507 of the family's 1533-position model. The record is from RNAcentral.
GAUGAACGCUGGCGGCGUGCUUAACACAUGCAAGUCGAACGGUGAAGCAGAGCUUGCUCUGUUGUUCAGUUGCGAACGGGUGAGUAACACGUGAGUAACCUACCCCUGUCUCUGGGAUAAGCGCUGGCAACGGCGCCUAAUACUUGCUAUGUGCUGUGACCGCCUGCUUAGCUGAUGGGAAGAUUGUUCUGUAUGGGUUGGGUUUACGGCUUAUCAGCUUGUUGGUGAGGUAUUGGCUCACCACGGCGUAGCCGGGUAGCCGUCCUGAGAGGGUGACCGGGCACAAGGGGACUGAGAGACGGCCCAGACGCGUACGGGAGGCAGCAGUGGGGAAUAUUGCACAAUGGGCGAAAGCCUGAUGCAGCGACGCCGCGUGAGGGAUGACGGCCUUCGGGUUGUAAACCUCUUUUAGCAGGGAAGAAGCGAAAGUGACGGUACCUGCAGAAAAAGCGCCGGCUAACUACGUG